This 376-nucleotide ribosomal RNA is filed under the name uncultured Rimostrombidium. RNAcentral describes it as "SSU rRNA". It matches the Rfam family "Eukaryotic small subunit ribosomal RNA", at positions 585 to 972 of the family's 1831-position model. Lineage: Eukaryota; Ciliophora; Spirotrichea; Choreotrichida; Strobilidiidae. The record is from RNAcentral.
CCAGCUCCAAUAGCGUAUAUUAAAGUUGUUGCAGUUAAAAAGCUCGUAGUUGGAUUUCUGACAGGGUGACCUCGCCCGCUUAUUGCGUGCGCGAAGCCGCUCUGUCAUCCUUCUUUUAACCCUUUAGACCUUAAUCAGUUUGCUGGGGGCUAAGAUAUUUUACCUUGAGAAAAUUAGAGUGUUUCAGGCAGGCUAGCGCCGGAAUACAUUAGCAUGGAAUAAUAGAAUAGGACUUUUACCUCUUCUGUUGGUCUGAGGGGUUCAAGUAAUGAUUAAUAGGGAUAGUUGGGGGCAUUAGUACUUAACUGUCAGAGGUGAAAUUCUCGGAUUUGUUAAAGACUAACUUAUGCGAAAGCAUUUGCCAAGGAUGUUUUCA